GCCAUGGUUUUUUUCAAAACCAUCGCAUUUCCUCUCAUAUUUUCUAU
Picea glauca (white spruce) is the source of this 47-nucleotide non-coding RNA. The record is from Rfam. NCBI's taxonomy places the organism in Eukaryota, Viridiplantae, Streptophyta, Pinopsida, Pinales, Pinaceae.